RNAcentral lists this ribosomal RNA (688 nucleotides) under Megalaria columbiana. Its description in RNAcentral is "SSU rRNA". It matches the Rfam family "Bacterial small subunit ribosomal RNA", at positions 359 to 1069 of the family's 1533-position model. The record is from RNAcentral. Lineage: Eukaryota; Fungi; Ascomycota; Lecanoromycetes; Lecanorales; Megalariaceae.
GAAUAUUGGUCAAUAGCCUAACGGCUGAACCAGCAACUUGGAGGAAUGUAUAGCAACAGCUAUUUGUGUGGUAAUACUAUGCAAAAUCAACUAUGUUGAAUAAAGUUCUGGUUAGAUUAUGAUUAUGACAUUUUCUAACUAUGUGUCUUGACCAAAUUACGUGCCAGCAGUCGCGGUAAUACGUAGAAGACUAGUGUUAUUCAUCUUUAAUAGGUUUAAAGGGUACUUAGACGGUAGAUAAAGCCAUAAUAGGGACUAGUCUGCUAGAGUUACUUAUAAGGGGGCUAUAAAGUACUAAUGGUGUAAAGAUAAAAUUUUGUAAUACCUGUUUUGGAAUACGGAAACAAUGGCACUGGUAAAGGCGAAGGCAUCCCCCUAUGUGAUAACUGACGUUAAAGGACGAAGGCUUUGGGUCGCGAGAAGGAUUAGAUACCCUAAUAGUCGAAGCAGAAAAUGAUGAGUGUCAUAGAUUAGAUAAUAAAAGUUUAUUCUAUAAAUGAAAGUGUAAGCACUCCACCUCAAGAGUAAUAUGGCAACAUAGAAACUGAAAUCAUUAGACCGUUUCUGAAACCAGUAGUGAAGUAUGUUGUUUAAUUUGAUAAUCCGCAAAAAACCUUACCACAACUUGAAUAACCAUGUUAAUAAUAUGGCUACAAGCAUUGCACGGCUGUCUUCAGUUAAUGUCGUG